This 211-nucleotide long non-coding RNA is filed under the name Capsicum annuum. RNAcentral describes it as "long non-coding RNA (CANN_LNC008614)". Lineage: Eukaryota; Viridiplantae; Streptophyta; Magnoliopsida; Solanales; Solanaceae. The record is from RNAcentral.
UGCUGAAUUACUUUAACCUUCUCUAUGGCUUGAUAAACAAGAUUCGGUCCGAACAAAAAAGUUUCACCCACUUCGAACCAUCCUAUUGGUGAUCUACACUUCAUUCCAUAUAAAGCUUCAUAUGGUGCCAUUUUGAUACUUGAAUGAUAGCUAUUAUUGUAGGCAAACUCAAUAAGAGGUAAAUGAUCAUCCCAGUUGCCCUUAAAAUCUA